GUCGAACGGACAGGUAAUGAAACCUAGUGAUUUAUCUGUUAGUGGCGUACGGGUGAGUAACGCGUGGGUAACCUGCCGUAUACAGGGGGAUAACACUUAGAAAUAGGUGCUAAAACCGCAUAAGCGCACAGGAUCGCAUGGUCUGGUGUGAAAAACUCCGGUGGUAUACGAUGGACCCGCGUCUGAUUAGCUUGUUGGUGGGGUAGAGGCCCACCAAGGCGACGAUCAGUAGCCGGCCUGAGAGGGUGAACGGCCACAUUGGGACUGAGACACGGCCCAAACUCCUACGGGAGGCAGCAGUGGGGAAUAUUGCACAAUGGGGGAAACCCUGAUGCAGCGACGCCGCGUGAGUGAAGAAGUAUUUCGGUAUGUAAAGCUCUAUCAGCAGGAAAGAAAAUGACGGUACCUGACUAAGAAGCCCCGGCUAACUACGUGCCAGCAGCCGCGGUAAUACGUAGGGGGCAAGCGUUAUCCGGAUUUACUGGGUGUAAAGGGAGCGUAGACGGUGAAGCAAGUCUGAAGUGAAAGGCGGGGGCUCAACCCCCGGACUGCUUUGGAAACUGUUUGACUGGAGUGCAGGAGAGGUAAGUGGAAUUCCUAGUG
This 603-nucleotide ribosomal RNA is filed under the name uncultured bacterium. Its description in RNAcentral is "bacterial SSU rRNA". It matches the Rfam family "Bacterial small subunit ribosomal RNA", at positions 61 to 675 of the family's 1533-position model. The record is from RNAcentral.